CUAAAGGAAAGGCCCAAGGCUGCAGGCCUGAGAUUAGUUUGGCAGCAGCUCCAAAGAGCAGCCCUUCAAUCGCAGGGAUUGAGCCCUUAAAAGUCCUGGCUGCCUCCCACCAGCCCUGCUAAUGGGGCUGAGCUGUUGGAGCCCUGACCUCUGUCUACCCGCCUGAUGAUCUGCUGCUCUGAAUCUCACUUCCGCAGCACCCAGGAGGACCAGAGACUCGGUCUAGCUUAUGUGCUCCAUGGCCUUGCAUGUUUUCAGCACCUACUGUGCGCAGCAUCGCCGCGCCUCCCCAUCCCCCUGCCUGCUGUUACUCUCACCAGCGCGCCCAGUCACGGGCUAAUUAGUGGUUAAUUAGUCAUAGGCUAAUCAGUGGUUAGGGCUACAGUAUGUAUGCAUGGUGGGGUGCAGACAGUGGGGUGGCCGGCGGGUGACGGUGCGGGUGGAAGAGAACAGGAGAGACGAGGCCGUGGUCUGACCUUCCUCCAAAAAGCCCGGAAUCCCUGAGUCUGUCUGUGGCAGCUGUGGAACAGAGGGAGCAUGGGAUCUGAACCGUGCCGCCAUCUGGGAGAGCACACACACAGCCAAACCCCGGAAGGAAACUCGAGCUGAAAUAUACCGUUUGCUAAGGAGCCGGUCCGGGCACUGGUUUCUCUGCGUUCUGAAUUUCUAGAAAGGGAAAACUCUCCCUUGCCAGGCGACGUCUACCACCCCUUCCCACUGCGGCCCCUCCAGUCCGCACCCCUUCGCCUCCUAGACCCCCUGUGAGGACCCUCAGCAAACUUCCGCAAGGCCUGACGAGCCCUGGGUGCGGGGUGGUGUGGACGCAGAUCUUUCGGGCCGAGGGGAAGGCUGCGGGGGUGUGGGCGUGGAGGUGCCAGGAGCGCGCAGCCUCCGCCUGCCCGGCUGUCUCCGCGGACCCCACCGAGGGUGGGAGAGAAGCGCUGGGAAAAGGAAGGGGAGAAGGAGCCCGAGCGGGAGGCGAGCGAGCGGUUCUUUCGCUCCUCCCAAAGAGCGGGGCGGCUCCGCUGUGCUCCUGACAACCCGGCCGCCGCCGCCCUGCUACCGCUCCCCGGGACCCGUCGGCGCUGACACUGGUGACCCGCUGCGGGGGCGCGGGGCGCGCUGGACACUGGCCGCCGGCUCUCGGGCCCGCUCCUGUCGCAGGCUUCCGCUGCUUCCACGACCCUCCCUCAGCCGCGAGAAGAGGUGCUCUGGCGACCUCGGGCCUUCCCUGGGGGUCUGCGCCGGCCCCUACCCCAACCCGCCCAGGGAAGAGGCGCGAAGGGGUGGGCCGCGAUGCGGAGGCGGGAAACUCAGGCGAGAUGCGAGGCUGGAGAACACGACGCAUGGAGGCGCGGGGUGGACCCCCAGUGUACUCCAGGAGCCGGCAGGAGCUAAACCCCAGCCUGCAACCCAGAGCCAAGCACAGACUCAUGUAGCAUAA
Long non-coding RNA from Callithrix jacchus (white-tufted-ear marmoset), 1444 nucleotides. The record is from Ensembl. Lineage: Eukaryota; Metazoa; Chordata; Mammalia; Primates; Cebidae.